UACGUAGGGACCAAGCGUUGUUCGGAUUUACUGGGCGUAAAGGGCGCGUAGGCGGCAAUUCAAGUCAGCUGUGAAAUCUCCGGGCUUAACUCGGAACGGUCAGCUGAUACUGCUUUGCUAGAGUGCAGAAGGGGCAAUCGGAAUUCUUGGUGUAGCGGUGAAAUGCGUUGAUAUCGGAAGGAACGCCGGCGGCGAAAGCGGCUUGCUGGACCCCAUCUGACGCUGAUGCGCGAAAGCCAGGGGAGCGAACGGG
Molecule: ribosomal RNA, 253 nt
Filed under: uncultured bacterium
Lineage: Bacteria
Description: partial 16S ribosomal RNA
Rfam family: Bacterial small subunit ribosomal RNA
Source: RNAcentral